Salvelinus sp. IW2-2015 is the source of this 1068-nucleotide non-coding RNA. The record is from RefSeq and is a predicted model, not a curated record. Lineage: Eukaryota; Metazoa; Chordata; Actinopteri; Salmoniformes; Salmonidae.
GUCUGAUUGCUGAUUUCACCAAUAAGCCAAUGAUUGACAAGGAACAAGGAACCUACRCCGACAAAUUCGAGUCAGACUCAAAUGUGUAUAUCCUCAGGUGAAAGCAGCACAUGAGGAGCAGGAGAUAACCGAGGGCACGGGUUGAAUUCUGGAGAUUGAGUAUACAUCAAGAUACACCAGGCGGGGGUGUUGGGACAGUGUUGGUCUGGUCUACGCACAGUACUCCUUACAGCACCUUCAGCGGUAAAGAUCGUCAUGUCUCUCCUCGUCCUGUGCUAUCACUCUCUUAAGAACCAGAAGGAGAAAGUGGAAAAGCAGCUCCAGCUGAAGUGGAGGAAGCCAACAGCUUCAGCUGGAAUGGCAUUCUGUUGUGUGAUGAGAGAUGGAAAUAAGAGCGUGCAUAUAGAACAGAGGCCAUAAGCCUAACUGUGAAUGUGAAUCAUGUUACAUUUUUUAUUCAUGUUUUAUUAUUAUUGUUUGUCCAUUUAAAAGUAAUUUCCAAGUGUAUGUAAUGUUGAACAGUAUGGAGUUAAAUGCUAGAAACAGGGGACUGUUAGAUUCUGGGUUCUGACAUCUUAAACUUGGAACAUUGUUAUACUAGAGACAUGAUAGAUCAGAAGUAAUACUAUAGUAUCUGAGGAGUGAUAGAGACUGGUUUUUAUAUCAGAAGUUAAUGAUUAUCUGUAAGAGCCAGAUGGCUUUGGAAUGUGCUGAGUAGAGGGGAGGCAAUCACGAUUGCUAUAGGUGAUACGGGUGGAGAGCUUUGGAUUAGGCAUCAAGGGGGUUGAGGUCAGGUCACCUUAAGGGAGAAGGAACGGUUCAUUACCCCAUCACUUCGUCUUCCUGUCGAACCAUAAUAGAUGUAAGGGUUGGAGAGGAGGAGUGCACCUAAAUUGGAGUAUAUAUAUAUACUUGUGUUGGUGAAGACAUAUUUUGUUUGAAUGCAGCUGUAUUGACCCUCUGGGAAGAAUAAACUUGUUUAAACUUUCAUAGUAUCAAUUGAGUUCGACUGAGAAUUAGAACCUAACAAUAGACACAGGAAACUUGUGAAAAACCCAGCAGCUUUGC